This 500-nucleotide ribosomal RNA is filed under the name uncultured bacterium. Its description in RNAcentral is "bacterial SSU rRNA". It matches the Rfam family "Bacterial small subunit ribosomal RNA", at positions 28 to 516 of the family's 1533-position model. The record is from RNAcentral.
GAUGAACGCUAGCUACAGGCUUAACACAUGCAAGUCGAGGGGCAGCAUUUCAGUUUGCUUGCAAACUGGAGAUGGCGACCGGCGCACGGGUGAGUAACACGUAUCCAACCUGCCGAUAACUCGGGGAUAGCCUUUCGAAAGAAAGAUUAAUACCCGAUGGUAUAAUUAGACCGCAUGGUCUUGUUAUUAAAGAAUUUCGGUUAUCGAUGGGGAUGCGUUCCAUUAGGCAGUUGGUGAGGUAACGGCUCACCAAACCUUCGAUGGAUAGGGGUUCUGAGAGGAAGGUCCCCCACAUUGGAACUGAGACACGGUCCAAACUCCUACGGGAGGCAGCAGUGAGGAAUAUUGGUCAAUGGGCGCAGGCCUGAACCAGCCAAGUAGCGUGAAGGAUGACUGCCCUAUGGGUUGUAAACUUCUUUUAUAUGGGAAUAAAGUUUUCCACGUGUGGAAUUUUGUAUGUACCAUAUGAAUAAGGAUCGGCUAACUCCGUGCCAGCAGCC